Molecule: long non-coding RNA, 3021 nt
Filed under: Homo sapiens (human)
Lineage: Eukaryota; Metazoa; Chordata; Mammalia; Primates; Hominidae
Description: HSALNT0329484
Source: RNAcentral
UUCCUUAAAUAAGGUAAAAGAAAAUGUAACUCUAAAUGAAGUGAUUGAUAUAUUUGACUAUACUAGAAUGCAUUCACCAAAAAACACCAUUUACAAAAACAAAAAGCCUGUAGAGUUGGGAAAUAUAUUAAUUCAUAUAACCGUCAAAGGACAGGUGUCCAGGUAUGUAAAGUACUUCUGUAUACCAAAGAAAAGGAACACCCAAUAGAAAAAUGGGCAAAAACCUUAAUGAAGCACUUCAUAAAAGAAAAAAUUAUCUAAUAAACAUACAGAGAAGUGCUUUAUCUCAUUCUGUAAAACUCUGCAUAGGUUCGGAAUUGGCCAUGGCGAAGUGUUAACUGUGCUGCUGUCUAAUGUGGAAUGUAGUGGCAGAUGAACCUGGGAAGAGGAGAAACAAGAAAAGGGCUGAAAGGGGGAAGAGAUGGUAGAAGAAAAAAAAUACGUUGGAUACAGUGGAACCACCAGGUGGCGCCACGCUACAAUAUGACUCUUGGAAGUCUCCUUUUAAAGAGAGAGCAAGGUAAUUUCUUAGUCGUCAUUGCAGAUGUUUCUGCAGCCAAUAGUGAAAUAUUUGACAAAAUUGAAGCAUUUCCAAACCAGGAAAUGUCAUAGAAUUUUAGGUUCUAGUUGGAUAAUCUUUGGAUAACAGUGAAUGAUAGUAUGGUAUUAGCAAUACUCUAAUAUGUAUAUUGUUUGUAAAUGUGGGCAUAGGAUUUGCAAUACUCAGUAAGCAUUGGAUUUUUUCAGGGACCACAAGAGAAACCUACCAGAAAAUACAAAUGGUCCAACUCUGAAUGGGAAUGAAAAACAUACCUGUACAAAAUAUGCACUAAAAAAAAAAAAUCAGAAGUCUAACAAUAUAUAUUGAACAACUGUGUAUUACAAAGACUCCCUGGCAAGUUCUCAUCUGUUCUGACCAGUUGGUAUUUUCAGCGUUCUUCUUUCACUUUGGCCAUUUUGGUUGUUACCCAGAACUUCCAAUAUAAUGAAUAGAAGUGAUGAUAGAGAAAAACUGUCAACAAUAAAUACACUGUGUGCAUCUAUCCACAAGAUCUCUGAAGAGAUCAGGUGUCCAAGCUUUGGCCCAGCAAACACAUUCUAGAAACUUCUUGCCAGAGAAGCAGCCAUUCUCAGCUCAGAAUGUUUUGUGGCAAUUCUCAUAAAACAAAACCUAACUCACCUAUUCUCAGUAUUCGACCAGCAGAACACCUCACUUACCUGUGCACAUGAUCUAAUGCAACGAAGAGUCCCUAACAGGUUACACCUGGUGAGUAUGCAGACGUAGAGAUCUUCUUUGUCUUAAAACAGGUUUUAGCUGUGGCACGGACAUUUUGGACCCAAUCAAUCUUUGUGGUGGGGGCUGUCCUGUACAUCACAGCAUAUUUACCAGCAUCCCUACUUUCCACUCCCCAGAGCCUGCACCACCCCCUCCUCAAGCUGUGAUGACCAAAACUGUCUCCUGACAUUGCUCUAAUGUCUCCAUGGGGAGCAAAAUCACUCCCUAUGGGAACCAGUGUCAUAAACCAUUUUAGAGGCAAACUACAAACUAACUCCCCAAACUGUGAUGGUGGAAAUAGUCUAUAACUUCCUAAUACAGCAGCUGAUCACUACAUGACACUGCUAAGCACCUGAAAUGUGGCUAAGUAUGAGGAGAAUUCUUAAUUUAAUUUCAUUUUAAUUAAGUCCUACAUAUACUAUAAGGACAAGAUGCUUCAUCAUGGAAAGCUGUGUAGAUAUCUGAUACCUCUGUUAAAAAUCAUGUGGUUGAUAGGCAAUAAAAACUUACAGAAAGGGUUUCACCAUGUUGUCCAGGCUGGUCUCAAACUAUCCACCCACCUCCAUCUCCAAAAGAGCUGGGAUUACAGUUGUGAGUCACUGCACCAGGCAUAAAUGUUUUAUUAGUCCUAUUUCUAUCCAUUUAAUUUUCAUUCUGACUAGGUAUUUGUUAAAUUAAGAGGUGAACUGUGAAGUUAAAGAUUACAAUGAUAGAAAUUUAAAUUCUCUUUUAAAUCAAAAAGUUUUAAGUUGUUUUUUGCAUGAUAGGAAUCAUGACUGAAAAUAUAAGAAUGCAAAAAAGGUGCUCUAACUGAAUUCUGGUAAAUAAUUCCUUCCUUGAAAGAAAAGAAAAACUAAACAAAAUUUAAAGGAAAGGCCAACCAGGAUUGAAAGAAAACAUUUAUUGAAUCAAAAUCAAUACUUUCUUUUUAGUAUCUACAAGCCAACACAGAACUCAUUUUAUUCAAGAAUGAACACAAUGUACAAAAAAAGUAUGCUUAUAUUAUAAAAAUAUGUCAAUUUUAUCUUCUGGGUGCUUAGCAGAAGUCAUUUUAAACAAAAUCAAGGCAAACUUGUUCUCUAUAAUGAGUCUGCUAUAAUUUAACAACAAAGUGAAAGCUAAUGUACUUACGAAGUAUUUUUAAAGGCCCACUGAUAAUGCUGCACUGGAAAUGCUAAACCCAAUGUUAACUAAAGUCAACAUUUCCGCUCUACGCUUACUGGCACCACUUCAUGCCUACAUCAUGGGAAAGUACCUCUUUUACAGAAUGCAGAUCACUGCUAACAAUCCACAUGACUAAGUCUUCAGUUUCCCUUGCUUAACAUUUGUUAGCAUAUAUUUCAGCAAAGAUUAACAGUAUAAUGAAUGUUGAGUAGUAAAAUCCUAUUUAAUUCGCUUCAAUUUAAAAAUGAGAUAUGCUGCUAUGGGGAACAAAUGACCUCUUGAGAUUUACAACCCCCUUUAUAAAAGUGGGAAAGCUGCCUCCCUAAAAAAAAUUAUGUCCAAGGUUAAUACCGUAUCUUUUUUUGUAGUUUUCUUAUUUCUUGAUUUUAUUGGCACCUCCCAGGCACUUUGGCAUGUGCUCCUGUAUAAAGUGUAGUUACUGUGCCUGUAGAGUUAGUGGCAGCUGCAGAGUAGUUAUAGGCUGACAAGUCCACUUUUGGCUUACCAUGGAGAUCUGCUCCAACACAUGCUGGUCGUUGGAGCAGCAAAAAAAAAAAAAAAAAAAAAAAAAACAGCGAUUU